RNAcentral lists this ribosomal RNA (434 nucleotides) under uncultured bacterium. RNAcentral's name for it is "partial 16S ribosomal RNA". It matches the Rfam family "Bacterial small subunit ribosomal RNA", at positions 28 to 507 of the family's 1533-position model. The record is from RNAcentral.
GGCGAACGCUGGCGGCAGGCCUAACACAUGCAAGUCGAACGGACCUUUCGGGGUUAGUGGCGGACGGGUGAGUAACACGUGGGAACGUGCCUUUAGGUUCGGAAUAGCUCCUGGAAACGGGUGGUAAUGCCGAAUGUGCCCUUCGGGGGAAAGAUUUAUCGCCUUUAGAGCGGCCCGCGUCUGAUUAGCUAGUUGGUUGAGGUAACGGCUCACCAAGGCGACGAUCAGUAGCUGGUCUGAGAGGAUGGCCAGCCACAUUGGGACUGAGACACGGCCCAAACUCCUACGGGAGGCAGCAGUGGGGAAUCUUGCGCAAUGGGCGAAAGCCUGACGCAGCCAUGCCGCGUGAAUGAUGAAGGUCUUAGGAUUGUAAAAUUCUUUCACCGGGGACGAUAAUGACGGUACCCGGAGAAGAAGCCCCGGCUAACUUCGUG